UCACCAUCUGGAGGAGAACCACCGCCAGCUAGAAACACCCAUUUCUGCGUGUUCUUUGAGAAACAAACAGAGGAUCCCUGAAGAGCCACUCUAUGUGUUUAUGAGGAUGCUCCUUAACAGCAACCAGCAUUUCCCUAGCUGCUGCAUUUUGAUUCCAAAGCAAUCAGAUUUGGGGAUCAGAUUGGGAUCAGAUCCCCAUUUGGGAUCACAUUUGCUGCAUUUAAAAGUGACUCCAAAUCUGUCAGCCAGGAAACUUCACGAGUCCCUGAAUAUUUGAAGACUGAAUUUCUCUGAGCAUGUGCUGUGAAAAUGAACAUACGUGAGAGCAAAGAAAUGUAGGUGAGUCAGAGUGAAGAAUGUAUGCCUUGAUCCUAGGAGGUGACCUUUCUACUGUGCUGCUUUCCUGGGUAAACAAAGAAAUUGUCGAGAUGUCCAUGUUUCUGGAGUGGAUUAAGUGUCUAAAUAUAGGACAGAAACACAUGGUGCGGUGGAGAGGACAGCAACCUAUUGGCUCCUUGGCUUGAGAUCUAAGACUCACUUUGCCACCAGCUGCCCGUUCAGCCUCAAGCACGUCAAUUCUCCACUCUGGGCCCCUUUUUUCUCGUCUGCCAUCCAAGCACUUUGUAAUGGAUGCACUGUGACCCCCCUCCUAAGAGCACUAGCAAUUAUCGACCAAUGACUGUUGGCUAAGUGAGGAGCUUAUGCUCUAGGAGCUAAUGAAGAGGCUCGUGGUUCUUCUAAGAAUGAUCUUUUUCAUCUGAAAUAAAAUGUCCUUUAAUACCAA
This is a long non-coding RNA of Canis lupus familiaris (dog), 784 nucleotides long. RefSeq lists it as uncharacterized. The record is from RefSeq and is a predicted model, not a curated record. Lineage: Eukaryota; Metazoa; Chordata; Mammalia; Carnivora; Canidae. The transcript has 2 exons.